This 253-nucleotide ribosomal RNA is filed under the name uncultured bacterium. RNAcentral's name for it is "partial 16S ribosomal RNA". It matches the Rfam family "Bacterial small subunit ribosomal RNA", at positions 524 to 776 of the family's 1533-position model. The record is from RNAcentral.
GACGAACCGUGCGAACGUUGUUCGGAAUCACUGGGCAUAAAGGGCGCGUAGGCGGCUUUUCAAGUCAGGGGUGAAAUCCGGCAGCUCAACUGUCGAAGUGCCCUUGAUACUGAUGAGCUCGAGGGAGGUAGGGGUGUGUGGAACUUCCGGUGGAGCGGUGAAAUGCGUUGAUAUCGGAAGGAACGCCGGUGGCGAAAGCGACGCACUGGACCUCUUCUGACGCUGAGGCGCGAAAGCCAGGGGAGCGAACGGG